GACGAACGCUGGCGGCGUGCUUAACACAUGCAAGUCGAACGGAAAGGCCCUGCUUUUGUGGGGUGCUCGAGUGGCGCACGGAUGAGUAACCCGUGAGUAACCUGCCCUUGACUUUGGGAUAACUUCAGGCAACUGGUGCUACUACCGGAUAGGAGCUCCUGCUGCAUGGUGGGGGUUGGAACGUUUCGGCGGUUGGGGAUGGACUCGCGGCUUAUCAGCUUGUUGGUGGGGUAGUGGCUUACCAAGGCUUUGACGGGUAGCCGGCCUGAGAGGGUGACCGGCCACAUUGGGACUGAGAUACGGCCCAGACUCCUACGGGAGGCAGCAGUGGGGAAUAUUGCACAAUGGGCGGAAGCCUGAGGCAGCAACGCCGCGUGCGGGAUGACGGCCUUCGGGUUGUAAACCGCUUUCGCCUGUGACGAAGCGUGAGUGACGGUAAUGGGUAAAGAAGCACCGGCUAACUACGUG
Molecule: ribosomal RNA, 468 nt
Filed under: uncultured bacterium
Lineage: Bacteria
Description: partial 16S ribosomal RNA
Rfam family: Bacterial small subunit ribosomal RNA
Source: RNAcentral